RNAcentral lists this transfer RNA (86 nucleotides) under Mycoplasmoides pneumoniae. RNAcentral describes it as "tRNA-Ser". It matches the Rfam family "tRNA". From Rfam's summary of the family: Transfer RNA (tRNA) molecules are approximately 80 nucleotides in length. Their secondary structure includes four short double-helical elements and three loops (D, anti-codon, and T loops). RNAcentral also lists the same sequence under 1 other name. The record is from RNAcentral. Lineage: Bacteria; Bacillati; Mycoplasmatota; Mycoplasmoidales; Mycoplasmoidaceae.
UAAUACUUACCCAAAUGGUUUAAGGGGGCGCUUUCGAAAAGCGUUAGGUUUUUUUGCAUGCGUGGGUUCGAAUCCCACAUUCUUGG